GUUUAUGUUACACCUGGAGGAUGAGCACAGAAUGUUCUCCUUGAAAGGCAGGGCCACUGCUGUCAAGGUGUUCCACACUGAAGAUGUGGAAGAGGAUUCAGCUGGAAAUGAGAGCAAGUCCACAAAGCCUUUCUUCCUUCUGAAUCGCGGGCAAUCGGCAGAGUUUGAUGCCAUUUUCAAACCCACCCUGGCUCAACGUGUGGAAAGGCAGAUUGGUGUGUUAGUGG
Long non-coding RNA from Passer domesticus (house sparrow), 227 nucleotides. RefSeq lists it as uncharacterized. The transcript has 3 exons. Lineage: Eukaryota; Metazoa; Chordata; Aves; Passeriformes; Passeridae. The record is from RefSeq and is a predicted model, not a curated record.